Molecule: long non-coding RNA, 559 nt
Organism: Catharus ustulatus (Swainson's thrush)
Lineage: Eukaryota; Metazoa; Chordata; Aves; Passeriformes; Turdidae
Exons: 3
Source: RefSeq, a predicted model, not a curated record
CGCCGGGCGGCCCCUGCGCAGCGCCAGCAGCGCGUACUGCACCAGAGAGCGCCAGGAUCCCCAGAGAUGCUGAUGCUGAUUCCCAGGGAUGCGCGCUUCUCCCGGCAGCACAAACCCCUUGGACAAAUGCUUGGGGACACUCAGACCAGCUGGCUUUGGGAAUGUGGGACAUCAGAAAGAAGAAAAGACUUGCCACCUGCCUGCAGAGCCUGCAAACCCCAGCAUGGUCUCUUCCUUCCAGCAGAAGCAUCCCUGGAUGUCAGUAAUCCCAGCAGGUUUUUAACACCAGUGGACUUCACUGGGGAGAUGCACGUGCCUGGGUGAGAGCCUGAGCCCUCAACUAUCAGCUCAAGCUGAUGACUACAACCACGACACUGCAGAGCUGAAUCCAUCCCAGAUCCUGGACUGACAAGACAUUAAUAAAUUGUUAAGGGUUUAUCAAAACUGCAGAGGUAAUUUAAAGCAAAUUCUUUGUCAGCAGAAACUGACUUUCAAUGUACUCUUUCAACAUAUGCAAAAUGAAAGUGAAAUAAAAGUUGUGUGUGUUGCUUCAUUGCAA